GACAUCCAGACAGGUGGUGCAUGGUUGUCGUCAGCUCGUGUCGUGAGAUGUUGGGUUAAGUCCCGCAACGAGCGCAACCCUUGUAUUCAGUUGCUACGCAAGAGCACUCUGGAUAGACUGCCGUUGACAAAACGGAGGAAGGUGGGGAUGACGUCAAAUCAUCAUGCCCCUUACGACCUGGGCCACACACGUACUACAAUGGCGCACAACAGAGGGAAGCAAGACAGCGAUGUGGAGCAAACCCCUAAAAUGCGUCCCAGUUCAGAUUGCAGGCUGCAACCCGCCUGCAUGAAGUCGGAAUUGCUAGUAAUCGCGGAUCAGCAUGCCGCGGUGAAUACGUUCCCGGGCCUUGUACACACCGCCCGUCACACCAUGGGAGCCGGUAACACCCGAAGUCAGUAGCCUGACCGCAAGGAGGGCGCUGCCGAAGGUGGGAUUGGUGACUGGGGUGAGGUCGUAACAAGGUAGCCGUAUCGGAAGGUGCGGUUGGAUCACCUC
RNAcentral lists this ribosomal RNA (498 nucleotides) under uncultured bacterium. RNAcentral describes it as "bacterial SSU rRNA". It matches the Rfam family "Bacterial small subunit ribosomal RNA", at positions 1025 to 1529 of the family's 1533-position model. The record is from RNAcentral.